UUGAAAACUUAUUUUUAAAUAAAUGGAAAUUUUCCAUAAAUUCAACGCAAUUGACUUUUCGAUGGCGUUGCUUACAAACAAAUGAUGAUGCAUAUGUAUGUGUGGGUAGUGAUAACAUCUCGCCUUGCACUUGUGUUCGAUUUAAAUUCCCGCACAGUUACCUGCUAAUUAUGCACCUGCUCUAAUAGCUAUAUUAUAUUGUUUUGCUAUUAAGUUAACUAAAAAAAACAUGUGUAUAUAUCAUAUAUUCGCUCUUAAAACUCAAUAUGGAAGGGAUAGUUUUUGCUUUUGACGGCAUGCUCCAUUUUGAUAAGACGCUCGCCCGUGUUGUAUGUGUCCAGGAUCGCGUGAUCCCCAGCAUCCAGUUUGAAGUCGAAGAUGUUGAAGUUCUCUUCAAUACGUUUUGGAUUGGAUGACUUUGGCAGCGGCACGGUUCCAAUUUCGAUCUAUAAUUAAAUGGAUGUUAAUCGAAA
This is a non-coding RNA of Drosophila virilis, 473 nucleotides long. Lineage: Eukaryota; Metazoa; Arthropoda; Insecta; Diptera; Drosophilidae. The record is from RefSeq and is a predicted model, not a curated record.